Molecule: non-coding RNA, 5771 nt
Organism: Pocillopora verrucosa
Lineage: Eukaryota; Metazoa; Cnidaria; Anthozoa; Scleractinia; Pocilloporidae
Source: RefSeq, a predicted model, not a curated record
AGUCAUGUUCAACUUUUCACACGUCUUCUAGAACUUGAUUGACGAUUCUUUGUUCUCGCGCGCCAGAAUUGCUCACGCAUUGUCACUUUCAACGUAUCUUUGAUUGAUUUCGUUGUCGUUAAAGGAUUUGCGAUGUGGGUUGUUAAAGUUCUAAACACGGAUGUGCACUGUUUGCCGGUAUUAGUAGCGGUAGUGGUGUGCGUUUUCGCUCUUCUCCUCAUGGUCCGAGGUAAACCUCGAAGAGGAAAAGUAAGUCAUAGGCCAUUUAUCAAAACCAGAGGUCGUCGUCCUUCGCCAAGGAUAACUCUCCUUUUCGGCAACAGGGAAUUUCCAAAUGGCCUGACAUUCACUCCCAAAAAUUCUUCAAGUCAACCACCGCUGUCAAUUAGAUCUUCUCCUUUCAAAACAAGACAUGUUAGUAAUAUCCCAGAAAAGUGUUGUGGAAACCGCACAUGGCCAGAUGUCUUGACCUCUGCCAAUCACAGCCUGAAGCAAAAAGUUCCUCAGCCGAAAAAGAAAAAAUCCAUGAAGGAGAAAAAUAUGAAACCAAGAGUGUUGUUUGCAUCUCAAUCUGUCCAUGAAAAGCAGGUUGGUUCCGAGGAAGAUAAAGCUGAACUCAUUCUACAGGACAGGCCAAAACGCAGGGAUAAUGGACAUAUUGAACAAGCUAAGACUAGCGGUUUGUGUGAACCAGACCCAUCUUUGUCUUCAAAUGUCAAGGAAAGUUGUGGGCAUGCAGACAGUCUGGGUAAAUCAAUUUCUCCAUUGAAUACUAAAAUUCCACCAGAUGAUGGACAAGUUUCUCACAACAGCUCAUCAAGCACAGUAAAUAAUGAACAUUUGCCUAAGGUUGAGGCAAAAAUUGAUACAACUAGGCUGUCUGCAGAUGUACCUAAAACAGGAAAGCCCUAUGAAGUUAAAUGGGAUGAACAAAUUAAACAAGCUAAGACUGGUAUUUUGUGUGAGCCAGACCCAUCUUUAUCAUUAAAUGGCAAGGAAAGGUGCAGGCAUGUACAUAGUCAGGGUAAAUCAAUUUCUCCAUCAAAUACAAAGGUUUUACUGGGAGAUGGACAAGUUGCUCAAAACAGAUCAACAAGCACAAGAAAUAGUGAACUUUCACUUAAGGUUGAGGCAAAAAUUGAUACAACUAUGCUGUCUGCAGAUGUAACUAAAACAGGAAAGCCCUAUGAAGUUAAAUGGGAUGAACAAAUCAAACAAGCUAAGACUGGUGUUUUGUGUGAGCCACACCCAUCUUUAUCAUUAAAUAGCAAGGAAAGGUGCAGGCAUGUACAUAGUCAGGGUAAAUCAAUUUCUCCAUCAAAUACAAAGGUUUUACUGGGAGAUGGACAAGUUUUUCAAAACAGAUCAGCAAGCACAAGAAAUAGUGAACUUUCAACUGAGCUUAAUUCAAAAGUUGGUACAAUUUGCUUGCCUGUAGAUGUAACUAAAAGAGAAAAGCCCUAUCAAGUUAAAUGGGAUGCAAAAAUUUCCAGAACCCCUUGUGAACGAUUUUCAUAUUUUUUAACUCUGAGAGAUGUAGAGACUAAUUCACGUGUAUCUUCAGAACAUGGCUCAUCAUUUGUAACUUUUCUGCCCAUUGGAGGUCAUACCUGCAGGCAAGGUCAAAGUCAGGAAAAUUUGUCAUCAACAAAAGCAACAACGAAUACAAGUUUAUGCCAAACUCUGCAGACUAAUGAUUGUCAUACAGAUAAGGUAGAGCACAAAGUUCCUGAAUCUUCCCAAAACACUUCUGCACCUGAUAACCGGGAAGUUGAUGAAAUUGAAUUGAUGGAUCUGUCUUGGGACAAUUCUGAUUGUUUUAGUGGAAACAGUGCAGGGUCCAGAGAAUCUAGCCCACUGGAACUUAUUAAGGAAGUGAGUUGUUCAUCUGACAACAGCAUUGGUAAGAGUGAACGUAAAAUGCGAUCAUCCAGGAAAAAGGCUGUAAAAUCUCACAAGAGAGAGGUGGUUAACUUUCACUGUAACAAUUGUGAUGUCAGUAACGAUGCUGCACAUUUGUCCAAGACACAAUCAUCCACAGAGAAGAAUGGAAAAUUUCCCAUCCAGAAGCCAUUGACCUGUAACCAUAAGAACUCUGAUGCCAAUGAUGUUGUUGCUCAGGCAUCAAAGUCUGAAGUGCAUUGUAUACUGUGUGGUAUCAGAUUGUCUAAACCACAAUGUUUUUAUAGUUUGGGUUCCCUGUGCACUGAUGAUGACAUUUGUGAAACUACCUCAGAUGAUAUUAAUCGACAUCUUGUAAGUGAUGUUGACACAAACCCUCCAGCAGGGGAAGGUAAAGGUCACCCUGACACAGGAUACACCAGCAGCGAAGAACUUGAAAAUGAAAGUGUCUUGCCAAAAGAGGUGGAGGCAAUUCUUACUCACAAAAGACGUAGGACAGAUGGUUAUGAUGGUGAUCAUGAGAGUGACAGCAGUUUUGAAUCUUUUGUCUUUACAUUGUCUUCAAGUGAAGAUGAGCGAGAAGCAGUUUCAGUCAAGGAAUAUGUGAAACAGGAAACAAAUAAGAGACAGGAGAUGGCAAUAUCACAGACUAUAGAAAAGGUCCAGAAAUUAAUUGCAAAAGCUCCAGCUGAAAAAGAGUGAAUUAAUCACUAAGACAACAGGGUGAACUGGAGCAGUCAUUCUUGGUUGGCUUUUCUCUAUAGCAUUUGACUUCAUGGAUGGUUAACUUCCUAUCAUUAUUUAUUCAAAGUGAAAUGUGCCUGCAUUGAUAUACCACUAUUCAAGUUGUCCACCUUUCUCAUUUGUGAAAAGAAGGCUGUGGCAUGAGUUACCUUUCAAUAGCUGGGGUACCUAAGGGCAUUCCUGAUGUUAAAUUAGCUGCUAAAGGUCACAGACACCAUAAUAUUGUAAUGUGGGAGAAACAAAUGUCAACUACCAUGUCUCUUGAUUUGUCAUGAAUUGGAUCUUUCAUUCAAGGGACAUCUGCAGAACUACAAAUUGCCAUGCUGGUUGUCUUCAUUGCCUUCCUCACUUCUUACGCUCUUCACUUCUGUCCACUGUGGUGUCAAUUUGCAGUGAGGGUGACUGUCUGUUUUAUAGGUAAAGAAGACUAGCUGAUUCAUGAUUUCACUGAAAUGUUCAUCCAAUGUUCUGUUUUUCAGGAUCAAUGUCAGUAUCUGAGCCACUUCACUGAUAACAAGUUAGGGUUAAUGUUGGGGAAAGGGAAGGGUAGGUGCACAGUUGCUCAGUUACUCACAUUGAGGUGAAUAUUGAUCCGUUUUUUGCAUAUGCAGGUAGAAAUUGUUUAGUUUUGUCUUUAACUGAGAUUGAAAAAUUCCAUGAUGACCUCACAAGCUCUCUGACUUCUUGUAUUUAUUGGUGUCAUUCAUGCUGGUAUGAGUCUAAGCUUUUUCCAUAUUGUGUUUUUAUCCAUCUUCUCUUAUCCUCUCUGCACCCUUAAAUGAAGGCCAUGUCUUUUCCAUCGAGUAGAUGUGUCAACUGAAUACUUGCCUCCUGAUAUAUUUUUAUUUUCUAUCUCUUUUUAGCAAUAAAUCUCCUGGUGUCAUCUGAUAUCUAAUGUUCUCUGCGUGUACCUCUUCUACGACCUAUCACUGUUUCAGUGCAAUCCCUGACUGUCGUUUUAAUGUUGCUUUCACACUUUUACACCCACAUUAUUCUGUGAAGCUUCAAAGCUCUUGGAACGCUCUACUCAGAAUUUUCGGAUCAAUAUCAGUAUCUGGGCAACGGCCCACCUGCCCCUCGGUUAGGGAAGGGUUAGGUGGGCAGUUGCCCAGAUACUGAUAUUGAUCCGAAUUUUCCUGGUUGGUCUGUGUCCGUCUGUAACAUUCUACGUAUUCUUGUGAAUGCCCAUGUCUUCAAAGAAUGUAUUGCCAGCAAUAAGUUGUGUGGUGCCUCCAGCACCAUGAGGACCGAUUCUGCUAUUUGAACCUUGCUGAUUUUCAUCAACUUGUGCUUUGAAAUCAACCGUAAUCACAUUCACAUCAUGAGUAGGGGUUUCCAUUCAAUAUUACCUAUAGCUGAAGUAGAAUUUAUCUUUCUCCUCUGUGUCGGUUACCUCAGUUGAUGCGUAAGCUUGAACUACACUUACUUUGGCAAGUGAUUACCAGAAUCUUGCAGUUGCGAAGCGAUUGUUGGUUGAUUUUCAGUCCAUCGGCUCUUGUGUAGCGACUUUAAUGAAGAACAGGCCUCCCACCCUUCACAUGAUAUUUGCUGUCUUCGAAGCUAAGUGCUGUAAGGUUGACCUGGUCCCUCCAUAUUAUUUCCCCAAUGCCUAGCACAUUCAGAUCACAUGCCUUCAUCUCUUUUAUGCCUUGAGCUGACUUUCCGCAUUGGUAGAACUCCUCAAAUUCGUGGCUACUUUUGUCACACUUUUAGUACUAAAGAUUGAGUGUGUCCGGUAUCUGAGUUCAUAUUGGAACUCAUCUGCCACGAUCAUAGAUGCAACAUACUGAACCCCGUCACUUCACCGCUGGUUCCAUAGUCGCUGGGUGCCACGCUUUUUCUUCUCGCUAUUUCCCUAACGAUGUUGUUUUACAUGGUGAGGUCGCUACCCUUACGUCCGAUCCUCUUCUUUUCUCAGUUGGGCUUAAGAUCAGAAAUGGCAUUGUGACUUUAGUGAUGGCUUCAGGUGUAUAAAUGUAGAAAACCUUCGCUAAUUAAUUCAAUAUAUUUUUUUUAGCAAUGAGAUCUUUUUGUUUUCUGAGACGCUGUGUUUUCUAUAUUUGAUUCAAAACACAAAGGUUAUUUAAAGGGGAAGUUUAACAUAGCUGUGUUGAUGUUUAGCUAGCUUUUUAAUUACUCGUCACCAAAGUUGUCCCGCUUACUAGUAGGAGGUAAUAAAAAUAUUUAUCAUAACUAUUAUUUUAGCUUAAUUAUUUCAAUUGUGGUCGUAAAAGUGGUCCAUCCUUAAAAGGGGACCACAUUGUUUAGAGAAUUCUGAAUUGAGAUAUCACCUAUUAAACUUACCAAAUUUUUUUAUGUAAAUUUUCAUAUACUAUUGUGAUUCAUUUUGUUAAACAAAUAAUUGCCUGUUUAAGAUGCUUUUAGAAUGUUCCGUAAGAGUUUGUGGACAAAAGACAACGUAAAUUAACCAUACAUGAAUUAUUGUAAGCCUUGGAACUGCAUAGGUGAAUUGUAAAGAAAUAACUUAUAGAAGUGUAUAUUUAAGAUUAAAAGUAAGAUUAUUAACGUUAAAUUUAAAGCUACAGAUUCAAAGCUAAGUCCUUUGAAGAAAAACAACAAAUAUAUCUACAUAUAUAUAUAUAUAUUGAGAAUUCGCUACGCUGAAGCCUCACCCUCAAGGAGAGUGAGAAGUAAAAGGUUUUAUAGAACUAUUUUAAGGUCUGAGAUAUUUCAUAAGCAAUAAGGUCUGUCCUAAGGCGUGCACGAGGUUUCAUUUAACUUUCACACAUUUAGUAACUUGAUCUACUGUUAAACAGGAAUGGUUUUUUAUUUAAUGCGUUUAUUUAUGUUGAGCGUAGCUUUUUAGGCUUAUUUAAGAUUUCACACACGUUCAUAUUUGGUAUUCAAAUUUUUAGGGGUUUUCUACUGUGAGUUGCGGGGUUUUGGAGUAUUUUUUAUGAAAUAGAUCCUCAGAAACGUAACGAGUUACCCUUUUUUUCUAAAUUUCGAGGGCUUCUUACAUCUUGCGUGACCUUAUACUAUUUAUAAGAACGUAACGAGUUACCUUUUUUUCCUAAAUUUCGAGGGUUUCUUACAUCUUGCGCGACCUUAUACUAUUUAUAAGAAUAUUAAGAAAUGACGCCAAAAUAAAGGAUGAAUAUUUA